GUAAGUUCACUCAUCUCUAGUGUACAGCGUAAAAAACAAAACCUUUCAAAAUGUGCAAAAUUGCAGUUUUUGUUUCAAUUUCUUCACACAAAUAAUAAUCUUUUUAGGCUUGCUGUACAUUUUAUGGUAAAUAAGUGAUGGGUCCAAAAACAAGCCCUCAUAUGGGUCUGUGGAUGGAAAUAUAAAAGAGUUAUUGAUUUUAGAAGGCGAGGAGGAAAAAACGCAAAAAUAAAAUUGGCCUGGUCCUUAAGGGGUCAAUCAUAGAGCUGCCUUAAUUUUUACUGUGUGUUUUGUGGCAGUUUACCGUUUCUUGUGUUGGUAUAAUUCACUGUUGCUUGUUGAGCUAGGUACUAUUGCUAUGACAACUGUUAUAUUUCAGCAGCCAUUUUAACUGCCAUCCUAAAGACAGAUUGAAGACCAGUCCAGUGCCAGUCCUGAGUCCCCCCCGCCAUUUGUAUGGAGACAAUCCUGCUUCUCUCUCUGCUUCCUGUUUCUGUAAUUUAAGGUGAACAUAGAUGGCGCACAGGUUUUGGGCAGUGUUGGCACAGAGAAAUGAUGCAAGUAUCGAUGAAAUUUUACCACUAACAUAAAGUAGAAUAUGUCACGAAAAAACAAUCUCGGAAUCAGAAUGAAAGGCAAAAGGGAAGAAAAUUCAUUUAGUAGAGGAAGAGGAAAUAAGAAGAAAGAUGAGCUGAGACCAGAACAGUGAAAAUGAUUUUCAGGAGCCACCAAGUACAGAUGAGAUACCAAGAAAGAGCAAGUUAUUGGCGUUCCUGGAGAAUAUCUGGGCCCGGAUGACCUGUAAGAGUAUGACAGUAAAGAAAAGAGCCUACCCACACCCGGCAUCUGAUGGAUGGCACAGGUAGGACAUCAUAAUUUUAGGGCCCAGUCACCCUGCAUUGCACUUCAUCCAUGCUACCAUUGUUAUCACCUUUCAUUUAAUUUUUCGGGAAUAUGCAGUGACCAGAAAUCAUCAGAUCUGGCACUGGGUAUUUAUUUUUGUUUAUGGAGUUCGAUGUGCAGCAUAAAUAAUGUUAUUUUUAAAUACCAUGGGCUUUUUUUGCAUAAAGGGAUUCCAAUUCUGGAACUUUUUUUUAGCCUUUUUGCUUUUUAAGUUUUUAAUCCUCCUGAACUGCACACGGCUGUCAACUGUUAAAAUCAGCUAACAACCCAGGAGUAUAGAGAAGGCUUAGCUCCUAUGCAUAUGCCCCUGUGAGCAUUGGGCAUACUAUAUAUGGAGAGAGAGAGAGAGAGACAUGUAUUGAACAUUUAUAGGAUAUAUCACCAGUGCCCACACCCUUCUGAAGACCCUAGCUGCUGUAAGCAAACACUGGAUUGAACCAUUGGCUGGUGGGUAAAUAAAAGAACAUUAAACAGUGGGAAAAUGCAUGAAUACAAAAUGAAAAGAGAGUAAGAAAAUAAAAUACUUUCACAAUUUUCAUGUUUUAAUCAUACAGCUGCCUACCUUAUCAUUUUUUUACUGUGUGCUUUGGGACAGUUUAUCUGUUCUUGUAGUGGUACGGCCCGCUGUUGUUUACUGAGCUUGGUGUGGUUGCUAUGACAACCUCUAUACUGCAGCAGCCAUUUUAACUGCCAUCCUAGAGACAGCUUGAAGACUAGUCCAGUGCCAGUUCUUUGUGUCCCCCCAGUUUUAUGGAGACAACACUGCUUCUUUCUGCUCCCUGUUUUUGUAAUGUAAGGUCAACACAGAUGGCACACAGGUUAGGCAGUGUUGGCACAGAGAAAUGAUGCAAGUAUCGAUGAAAUUUUACCACUAACAUAAAGUAGAAUAUGUCACGAAAAAACAAUCUCGGAAUCAGAAUGAAAGGAAAAAGGGAAGAAAAUUCAUUUAGUAGAGGAAGAGGAAAUAAGAAGAAAGAUGAGCUGAGACCAGAACAGUGAAAAUGAUUUUCAGGAGCCACCAAGUACAGAUGAGAUACCAAGAAAGAGCAAGUUAUUGGCGUUCCUGGAGAAUAUCUGGGCCCGGAUGACCUGUAAGAGUAUGACAGUAAAGAAAAGAGCCUACCCACACCCGGCAUCUGAUGGAUGGCACAGGUAGGACAUCAUAAUUUUAGGGCCCAGUCACCCUGCAUUGCACUUCAUCCAUGCUACCAUUGUUAUCACCUUUCAUUUAAUUUUUCGGGAAUAUGCAGUGACCAGAAAUCAUCAGAUCUGGCACUGGGUAUUUAUUUUUGUUUAUGGAGUUCGAUGUGCAGCAUAAAUAAUGUUAUUUUUAAAUACCAUGGGCUUUUUUUGCAUAAAGGGAUUCCAAUUCUGGAACUUUUUUUUAGCCUUUUUGCUUUUUAAGUUUUUAAUCCUCCUGAACUGCACACGGCUGUCAACUGUUAAAAUCAGCUAACAACCCAGGAGUAUAGAGAAGGCUUAGCUCCUAUGCAUAUGCCCCUGUGAGCAUUGGGCAUACUAUAUAUGGAGAGAGAGAGAGAGAGACAUGUAUUGAACAUUUAUAGGAUAUAUCACCAGUGCCCACACCCUUCUGAAGACCCUAGCUGCUGUAAGCAAACACUGGAUUGAACCAUUGGCUGGUGGGUAAAUAAAAGAACAUUAAACAGUGGGAAAAUGCAUGAAUACAAAAUGAAAAGAGAGUAAGAAAAUAAAAUACUUUCACAAUUUUCAUGUUUUAAUCAUACAGCUGCCUACCUUAUCAUUUUUUUACUGUGUGCUUUGGGACAGUUUAUCUGUUCUUGUAGUGGUACAGUCCGCUGUUGUUUACUGAGCUUGGUGUGGUUGCUAUGACAACCUCUAUACUGCAGCAGCCAUUUUAACUGCCAUCCUAGAGACAGCUUGAAGACUAGUCCAGUGCCAGUUCUUUGUGUCCCCCCAGUUUUAUGGAGACAACACUGCUUCUUUCUGCUCCCUGUUUUUGUAAUGUAAGGUCAACACAGAUGGCACACAGGUUAGGCAGUGUUGGCACAGAGGUGAGCACUGUGUACCAAAUAUUCCAGACCAAGUAUGUGCAGCCAUCUUGCCUAAAUGUCUAUUGAAGUAAAACAGUGAAAGAUACUUCUUCUAGGAAUUAGUAGGGGCCCAGUGGUCAGAAUCCCACCAAUCAGAUAUUUUGGA
This is a long non-coding RNA of Hyla sarda, 3081 nucleotides long. RefSeq lists it as uncharacterized. The transcript is spliced from 5 exons. The record is from RefSeq and is a predicted model, not a curated record. Lineage: Eukaryota; Metazoa; Chordata; Amphibia; Anura; Hylidae.